Molecule: ribosomal RNA, 468 nt
Filed under: uncultured bacterium
Lineage: Bacteria
Description: partial 16S ribosomal RNA
Rfam family: Bacterial small subunit ribosomal RNA
Source: RNAcentral
GACGAACGCUGGCGGCGUGCUUAACACAUGCAAGUCGAACGGAAAGGUCCUGCUUUUGUGGGGUGCUCGAGUGGCGAACGGGUGAGUAACACGUGAGUAACCUGCCCUUGACUUUGGGAUAACUUCAGGAAACUGGGGCUAAUACCGGAUAGGAGCUCCUGCUGCAUGGUGGGGGUUGGAAAGUUUCGGCGGUUGGGGAUGGACUCGCGGCUUAUCAGCUUGUUGGUGGGGUAGUGGCUUACCAAGGCUUUGACGGGUAGCCGGCCUGAGAGGGUGACCGGCCACAUUGGGACUGAGAUACGGCCCAGACUCCUACGGGGGGCAGCAGUGGGGAAUAUUGCACAAUGGGCGGAAGCCUGAUGCAGCAACGCCGCGUGCGGGAUGACGGCCUUCGGGUUGUAAACCGCUUUCGCCUGUGACGAAGCGUGAGUGACGGUAAUGGGUAAAGAAGCACCGGCUAACUACGUG